Chelonoidis abingdonii (Abingdon island giant tortoise) is the source of this 2500-nucleotide long non-coding RNA. RefSeq lists it as uncharacterized. The record is from RefSeq and is a predicted model, not a curated record. Lineage: Eukaryota; Metazoa; Chordata; Testudines; Testudinidae.
UGGGGGAGCUUUUAACGGGGGGGGGGGGGUGCAGGCUGCCGCUCGAGCUGGCACAAUGUGGCGGCUGUGGGCACCACUCCCUGGCUGCUGUGCCAGUCACUUUGUGCUGUUCACAUGUGGCCUGACUGCUCUCCCCCCAGCAAUGCUGACCCGACCGUACUGCGCUGCUGUGAAGGCACAGCCUGUGUCACUGCGGCUGGGCAUGAGCUUGCGUAGCGCUGCUUCCCCCACUGCUAGGCGAGGCUGGUUAGGCCUUCCCAGGGAAGGGGUGGGGACAGCCAGAGUUCACGGACUAGGCCUGGACAUAAGCCAGGUCACCUGGCCUUGCCUAGAGGGCAGUGUGCAGAGGUGGUGAGGGGAUCAGAGUUGCUCAGCUGCUGCAAUGCUGGCCUGGCCCCUGCUGCUGCCACUUAGAUUCCGUCCCCCAGGAGCACUGGGGCUGAAAUCGGAAGCAAUCCCUAUCCAGGGACAAUUGUAGCAAGAACAGAAGCACUGGGAAGCAGCUGCUGGUUUCGUUUCUGUAGCGGUGUGUGGUGAGGUCACGGGACCUGCUGGCGUGCGAGGGGCUUGGCCCUGGUGUGUCGCAGCCAUUGGUGGCGCUGCUCUGUCCCAUCUGCUGCGUGAGCCAGUGUUAGCUGCUGCAAGGGAAAGAGCCGCCACUGAGGAGAGUAGCGAACGGCACGGAAGCAAAGGAUACAGAGCCAGGGAGAGUGAAUCCACAGCACGUGGGUGCAAGGUGGGACGAUGUGUCUGGGCCAGUGGAAGUUAGUGGGAAUCCAGGGCAUGUGAAUAGCUAAAACCUCAGGGUAGCCCCAGGGGCUUUGCCUUCCCCUGCUUGUUUUUACAGAACCCCCAGCCCACCAGCUUUGUGCACUGCUGCUCCACUGGCCUAGUUCUCCGGGAUGCGAAUGGCCAUGGAGCGAAGCGCUGCCCGGCUUGCUGGGUUGCCAUUGGCAAGCGGUUUCUGAGGUUCACUGAGUUUUGAUCUGAUCGCACAGGAAGAGCCGGGUUUCACUGCUACAGAAAUGAAAUCUGGGCCCUAUCCAGGCAUGUUGUGUGGCAGGCCCUGCUAAAUAGCCUUCUGGAAAACCCUUCCUCUGCUGCAAGACAGGAGGGCACUCCUCUCCGCAAGCGAUGCGAGCUUGCUCAAUUGCUGGGAGGCUGAGGUCCGGCCCCUCUAGCUAGUCUAGCUAUGGCACUCAUUGCCAGCUUGCCCCGGGACAGAUAUGAUUCAGCAAUGCUGCCACCCCAGGCAAAGCAGUCCCGGGUACUGGCAUUUCCCUCCCCCUGACCGCUGGUACCUGUAGAUUGCCUCCCAGGCCGGGUGCUUAGAAGAAAACUUGGCUCUUACAUUGUGGCAGUUUCUCUAUGGGGCUGCUGCUUCGACCUGCCCCCUGCGCUAUAUAACACGCCCUGUGGGGAAGGCAGGGUCGGGCACUGUUGAUGCCUUCCUGGAGUAGGGAAACGGGGAUUCAGUGUCAGAUGGAACAGGGCUAAUGAACAGCCUCUGUUCUCCUCUCUGCCCUCUGUAUUGCUUGAACAUAUCUAGUCUCUGACUGUCCAACUUUUCCUCCCAGGUGAUGAGUUCCACCAACGGAGAACUGAACACGGACGACCCAACCGCAGGACAUUCGAAUGCCCCGAUCACGGCGCCUGCCGAGGUGGAGGUAGCGGAUGAUACAAAGUGCUGCUGUUUCUUCAAGAGGAGGAAGAGAAAAACCAUCCAGCGCCACAAGUGAUCUGCCAGGGACAUAACGGAUCAGUUUGUGCAGUAUCGCCUUUAACUCUGGCUACGGAUGGGUCUAGAUUCCUGAUCAGAUCUGCAAGGCCUUCCCUCCCUCUGAUUUGGAUGGGGGUGGAGGAAGAGCCAUCAUGACUUCGCAGCCUAGCACCACAUGUGUGGAUGGGGAGGGGGGGAGGGAAGUUCCCAAACUGCUUUGCUUUUCCUCCACCAGCACCACAUCCACCCAGUGGUCGUUUACCCAGUCAGACUUUGCCGCCGUUCCCAGGCCUGUCUGUCGUGCAGUCCAUGGAGAGCAUUAAGCUAUUUAACAAGGAAACCAACCAACCAAACCCACGACGUGAAUUUCUUUUGAUUCUAUUAACUAGUUUGAAAAUGGGGAUCAACUCUACAGACUCAAAAAACAUUGCUGGCGUAAAAGAAGCCGAAGACAAUUUCAAGGGGGGUGGGCUAUGGAGAAUUUUUUUCCCUGUCGCUUCUUUAUCGCCGAAGUUAAUUUAAGUCUCGGUGCAGAGUGCUGAGUUGUCAGUCUUUGACCUUCCUCUUUUUAGUGUUAUGAAAUUCUGCUUUUCUUUUAAAGAUUGUGUUUUCCCUGUAAGCUCCCCGUCCCCAUUUGGUUAAAGCUCUUUCCUUGUGGUGGCGAUCAAUCGCUGUGUUAGCCGAGUCUCUGGUACGGUGAUGCGUGGAGGAGGGACUCGUUUACACUUUCGUUUUACGAUGCACUUUUGCUAGCAAUACAAGCGAUGUUUGGUCUUGAAA